GCGGGGGUGGUGUAUGGUACACAGCUACUUGCAUUCACUGCGUUCGCUAAUCCAUCGUUCUUCAGUAGCAGAACCGGGUUCGACCCCCGGCCCCCGCA
Molecule: non-coding RNA, 98 nt
Organism: Mycena latifolia
Lineage: Eukaryota; Fungi; Basidiomycota; Agaricomycetes; Agaricales; Mycenaceae
Source: the annotation of a GenBank genome assembly